This 237-nucleotide ribosomal RNA is filed under the name uncultured Lactobacillus sp. RNAcentral's name for it is "partial 16S ribosomal RNA". It matches the Rfam family "Bacterial small subunit ribosomal RNA", at positions 125 to 355 of the family's 1533-position model. Lineage: Bacteria; Bacillati; Bacillota; Bacilli; Lactobacillales; Lactobacillaceae. The record is from RNAcentral.
CCUGCCCAAGAGAUCGGGAUAACACCUGGAAACAGAUGCUAAUACCGGAUAACAACAGAUGAUGCCUAUCAACUGUUUAAAAGAUGGUUCUGCUAUCACUNUUGGAUGGACCUGCGGUGCAUUAGCUAGUUGGUAGGGUAACGGCCUACCAAGGCGAUGAUGCAUAGCCGAGUUGAGAGACUGAUCGGCCACAUUGGGACUGAGACACGGCCCAAACUCCUACGGGAGGCAGCAGCU